Molecule: ribosomal RNA, 239 nt
Filed under: uncultured bacterium
Lineage: Bacteria
Description: partial 16S ribosomal RNA
Rfam family: Bacterial small subunit ribosomal RNA
Source: RNAcentral
CAAGCGGAUCUCUUAAAGCCGUUCUCAGUUCGGACUGUAGGCUGCAACUCGCCUACACGAAGCUGGAAUCGCUAGUAAUCGCGAAUCAGCACGCCGCGGUGAAUACGUUCCCGGGCCUUGUACACACCGCCCGUCACACCAUGAGAGUCUGUAACACCCAAAGCCGGUGGGAUAACCUUUAUAGGAGUCAGCCGUCUAAGGUAGGACAGAUGAUUAGGGUGAAGUCGUAACAAGGUAAC